UAACAAAUGAAUAAUUAACUUAAACUGACUAGAAUACAGAAGUCCAGGAGGAGGAGGAGAGAUUUAAGCCUUGCUUGCUGACUUCCUGACCUAAAUGCUGCUCAACUACAACUCCCAGGAGCACCAGACUGUCUGACCAAUGCUAAAGAAUGGAACAGCACAUUCUUGUGGGCAGCUUUGCUGGAAAUUUUUCAUCUAUAAACAGCCCGUUUCUUGUUACCAUCCAGAAGAAACAAGGAAAGAAUGUUGCAUCUCGCAUUAAUGCACGAUUUCAUCUGGAAAGAGCACCUAGCCUCAACAUGCUGUUCUGCUCUGAAAACAGAGAUCUUCCUUUGGCACUGAACUAUGUGUUAUACUUCCAUUGAUAUGAGCACCAGCCACUUGCGAGAUCUGGAGAAAUUAUUUGCAGAGAAAAAUGCAAUGGUGGGUGCCAUACAAGAGACAAAUUAGCUGGUCAUUUUCCCUGCUGCAUAUUAUGCACUGAACCUUAAAAGAGUUUCANAUGAGGAGAAUGGAGGAUUUCACUGUAUGUUUAUGUUUGGGAAGGCAGAGUUGCGAAAUGGUUAGAACCUCAGCGAUCAAGUUCCUGGGUGACAGAAAAAGAGUUUAGGCUGUGUUGAGGAGACUCUGGGAAAAAGUAUGGAUGUUCAUUGUGGAAACUUUGCACUCUGCUGUGAAGCUUUUCUUUGGGGGGGGGAGGGGGAAUUGAUUUAAGAAUUAUAUGACCAGACUGCAGAAUUUAACACAGAGGACAGGGAGCUGAUGAUGAAAUUCUGCAAUGAAUUCUAUUCACCCAUUUUGCUCAGUGUCUUGCUCAAAGGUUGCUGACUCAUCUUAUUCCUCCUGGCAAACAAUGUGUUGUAUUGAAA
RNAcentral lists this long non-coding RNA (869 nucleotides) under Salvator merianae (Argentine black and white tegu). RNAcentral's name for it is "lncRNA (ENSSMRG00000008569.1)". Lineage: Eukaryota; Metazoa; Chordata; Lepidosauria; Squamata; Teiidae. The record is from RNAcentral.